CAAUAGCGUAUAUUAAAGUUGUUGCAGUUAAAAAGCUCGUAGUUGGGUUUGUGGCGUACGGUGUGUUCCGGGCACUUGUUGUCUGAGUAACCUGCUGUUGCCAUCCUUGGGUGGAACCUGUGUGGCAUUAGGUUGUCGUGCAGGGGAUGCCCAUCAUUUACUGUGAAAAAAUUAGAGUGUUCAAAGCAGGCUUAUGCCGUUGAAUAUAUUAGCAUGGAAUAAUGAGAUAGGACUUUUUUGCUAUUUUGUUGGUUUGCGCAAAGAGGUAAUGAUUAAUAGGGACAGUUGGGGGUAUUCGUAUUCCAUUGUCAGAGGUGAAAUUCUUGGAUUUUUGGAAGACGAACUACUGCGAAAGCAUUUACCAAGGAUGUUUUCAUUAA
RNAcentral lists this ribosomal RNA (380 nucleotides) under uncultured eukaryote. RNAcentral describes it as "partial 18S ribosomal RNA". It matches the Rfam family "Eukaryotic small subunit ribosomal RNA", at positions 592 to 976 of the family's 1831-position model. The record is from RNAcentral.